CUGCCGAGAGUGUCUUCAGCGCCAGCAUUUCCUGGCCUAAUUAAGCUGGGUAAUGAGUAGCUAAGAGGAGGGGAUAAAAGCCCUAGGCGGCUUAGAGCUGGGACAGUUUAUGACAGGGGCGUCUGCAGCUGGUGACAUUCCUAGGAAAAUUAUUUCUCAUAACCCUGGGAAGUUGCAUGCUGUUUCCUUAGCAGCAGAGUAAGCCUCAAAGGACAUUCUGAUUGUCAUAACUGCGGGAGGCAGACAACUUGCUACUUCACCUGGAGAGUAGAGGCUGACGAUGCUGCUAAACAUCCGACAGUGCACAGGACAGCCUCCAAAACAAAGAAAUAUCUGGCGCAAAUGUCAGCAGUGCUGAGGAUGAGAAGCCCUGCUGGACAAAUGGGAAGAAGAGCUCUGCCCGCUGAUUCCUCCUGGCAGAAAAGUUCCCACUGGGCUCCUCUCUACCCUGCCCAGUGGGUCUGCAGCUGUUUUGUUUCCAGGAGCCUGAGAGAGAGACAGAAGCAGCUGGGAGGAGAAAAAUCAACGCGGCCAGGGGCCCUACUGGUCCUUCUGCCUUAGCCACAGGUUCUGAAACCAAAGCAAAACCACCAGAGAGUGAUUCAUGUGGGUAUGGCCCUCCCUCCCCCUGCCCAGAAAGGUUUCUCUUGAGCCCAUAUGCUAGUUUCUGUCAUGCAAACGCCCUGGCAAUGCCUUCCUUGCCUUGGCGCAAUGGCUCUGAUUGGGUAGGCAUCUCCGGGGGUUAAUACUGGCACAAACUCAUGUAAAUCUUCCUGGGCCUAAGUCUGGUGUACUCUCAUAUGUGAAUUGGCAUGGUCCUGGAGGGCUAGUCAGCUAGCUCCUAGCCUCGAGAUCGGCCUGGACCAAACCAAAAAAAAAAUCAUCUCUGGUGAAACAGGAUAGCCACCCCACCCCCUGCUCAGCAUUCCCCAGUGCCUCCCUUCACAGUGGCCAGUUUGGAUUCUUCUCACCAAACGCUCAAGACCUGUACAGGUUACUUAUUGGUCCCCUUCAUGCCCCAGAUGCAAAUUUGGCAUGUCUCAUUUGCAUUCUAAAGUGUUUGGAGGCAAGGCUGGGAUGAGCUUAAUUUGCCCUGAUGUCUUUUGACCAGGUUAGUAAACAUCCCUCCAGCCCAUCUCAGCACUUGAGAAUCUGGAAGGCAGCUAUGCUUUAAUUACAGUGCAAUUUCAGGAGUUUGCUUGCUGUUCCCCCUUGGCUCUUUGCCUAGCUUAUUAUUUUCAUCUUGUUGUUUGUUUGUUUAAAUGAGAACUUUCGUAGACAAUUCCCUCUCCCGCCUCCCCCAGAGGCCAGUCUGUGUUGCUAGAGGACUUUUUCUGCCUCCCUCUUGGUUUACAAAGCCAGGGCAUCUCUGUUGACAAAGGGUCUGCGAUCUGGCACUGGGCCUGGCAGUUAGGGAGUGUGUAAGAAAUGCAGAUGCCUUUUGCAGAUGCCUGCCCUGCUCCUCCUCUAAGCAGCCAAAACAUCCUGCACCACCUCGGGAAGACCCCACAUCCCAGCUUGCUGGUCUCUGAGCACUCUGCCCCGCCAACCCUAUAGCGCUAGGAAGGCAGGAAGGAUGGAAAAGGCUGUGGGGGAUUGAGUAAGGGAUUUGGGAAUGAGGGACAGUGACACUGUAGGUGGGUUGGCUUAGCAGGGGGAUUGGGAGUGGCCAGCUGGAGUGGUGGAAAGAACUGGGGACAGGGAGUCAGGAAGCUGAGCUUUUAUUCAUCCCAGCUUUGCUACUGACAAGUUAGGUGGUCUUGGGGCAGACUGGGCCAAAUCUGGGCCUUCCUGUGUAAAACGCAUGCUCCCAUCUCAAGGUCCUUUUCUACUUUACAGAUUCUCUUGCUUUUAGAAUGCUAAUUUCAUUGACUGUGGCCUGUUUCCUUCUCCAGAGACAGGAUAACCCAAUAAA
Homo sapiens (human) is the source of this 1915-nucleotide long non-coding RNA. Ensembl annotates it as cat eye syndrome chromosome region, candidate 3. Its record names the gene CECR3. NCBI's taxonomy places the organism in Eukaryota, Metazoa, Chordata, Mammalia, Primates, Hominidae. The record is from Ensembl.